AAGGGCGACUGAAGCGUCAUGAGCUCAAAUUGUGAAUCAGCGGCGCCGAAUUGUGAUCUAGAAAUACUUGCGCUUGGGUUAAGUCCCUUGGAACAGGGCAGCUGAGAGGGUGAGACUCCCGUGUGCCUGGCUUUAUUAAUGAGUCGAGUUGUUUGGGAUUGCAGCUCUAAGUGGGUGGUAAAUUCCAUCUAAAGCUAAAUACUGGUGGGAAACCGAUAGCGUACAAGUACCGUGAGGGAAAGAUGCAAAGAACUUUGAAAAGAGAGUUAAAAAGUACCUGAAAUUGCUGAAAAGGAAGCGAAGGAAACCAGUGUUGCUGUGUCAUACUUCCCCGCUCGCUUGCGGUCGGGGCGCUGUGGCCAGCGUUGUCCUGCUUGAU
Molecule: ribosomal RNA, 379 nt
Filed under: Caloneis silicula
Lineage: Eukaryota; Bacillariophyta; Bacillariophyceae; Sellaphorales; Pinnulariaceae
Description: eukaryotic LSU rRNA
Rfam family: Eukaryotic large subunit ribosomal RNA
Source: RNAcentral